RNAcentral lists this ribosomal RNA (749 nucleotides) under uncultured Cytophaga sp. Its description in RNAcentral is "bacterial SSU rRNA". It matches the Rfam family "Bacterial small subunit ribosomal RNA", at positions 84 to 831 of the family's 1533-position model. Lineage: Bacteria; Pseudomonadati; Bacteroidota; Cytophagia; Cytophagales; Cytophagaceae. The record is from RNAcentral.
UCGGGCUUCGACCGGCGUACGGGUGCGUAACGCGUAUACAAUCUGCCUUUCACAUAGGGAUAGCCCGAAGAAAUUUGGAUUAAUACCUAAUGGUAUAUAGGAGUGGCAUCACAUUUAUAUUAAAGCUGAGGCGGUGAAAGAUGAGUAUGCGUUCUAUUAGCUAGUUGGAGAGGUAACGGCUCCCCAAGGCGACGAUAGAUAGGGGUUCUGAGAGGGAUAUCCCCCACACUGGUACUGAGAUACGGACCAGACUCCUACGGGAGGCAGCAGUGAGGAAUAUUGGACAAUGGUCGGAAGACUGAUCCAGCCAUGCCGCGUGCAGGAAGACGGCCUUAUGGGUUGUAAACUGCUUUUGCAGGGGAAGAAUAAGGAGUACGUGUACUUUGAUGACGGUACUCUGCGAAUAAGCAUCGGCUAACUCCGUGCCAGCAGCCGCGGUAAUACGGAGGAUGCGAGCGUUAUCCGGAAUCAUUGGGUUUAAAGGGUCCGUAGGCGGGCUAAUAAGUCAGAGGUGAAAGCGCUCAGCUCAACUGAGCAACUGCCUUUGAAACUGUUAGUCUUGAAUGGUUGUGAAGUAGUUGGAAUGUGUAGUGUAGCGGUGAAAUGCUUAGAUAUUACACAGAACACCGAUAGCGAAGGCAUAUUACUAACAAUUAAUUGACGCUGAUGGACGAAAGCGUGGGGAGCGAACAGGAUUAGAUACCCUGGUAGUCCACGCUGUAAACGAUGGAUACUAGCUGUUUGGUUGU